This 744-nucleotide long non-coding RNA is filed under the name Malus domestica (apple). Its description in RNAcentral is "long non-coding RNA (MDOM_LNC005011)". Lineage: Eukaryota; Viridiplantae; Streptophyta; Magnoliopsida; Rosales; Rosaceae. The record is from RNAcentral.
UGAGAUUUGUAGAUGCUCAAAAUACACUACGAAAUCUCUCUAAUUCCCUCUAAUUCCUCAACUUUCUCAAAUUCUUUAAAAUCAAAUUCUAAUUGAAUACACCUGGAAUGUUAUAAACUUCUUUAAAAUUCUAAUUGAAUACAUCCGGAUUUCUAAGGAUUUUCAUAAAAUAUCUUAAAAUUCUGAUUGAAUACACAUUGAAUUUCAGAGAAUCACUUAAAUUCUUGAUUGAAUAACCCUAGAUUCAUUAAAAGAAUUAAAAUUCAUUGAAUACAAACGGAUCCGGAGAGGAUCCCUUUCCCACUACUACCACCACCUCCACUGUUGUAGGCUUGUAGCUUUCGCUUUCCACCUUCCAAAACUAGAAAACCUUUAAACUUUUUUUACUUUUAUGAUAAUAAUAACUAGCCUUGCACGUGCGUGCGAGAGAUUUUUUUGCAUCACGAACACUACCCGCUCUAAAGAUGUGUUGUUUUAAAUAUUCUAAUAUUUCUUAAGUGAUUAUUUUAUAAAUUGUGGGUGUGUGUCUAUCAGAACAAUUUCUUAUUAUUUUCAAUCAUCUAACUUAGUCUUUUUGCACCCACCCAUUGUACAUAAAAAAUGAAAUUCAUGAAUUGCACACUAACUAUUCUACAUUUUUUUUGCUUACUGAUUAUUAUGGUGUCAUUUUUUUUGUUUGGCUGAUAGAAUUUGGUUUCACAAACUAAACUAUGCUUGGUCAUUAUUAUCACUUUGGUAAUUACU